RNAcentral lists this transfer RNA (62 nucleotides) under Hemidactylus greeffii (Greeffs giant gecko). RNAcentral describes it as "tRNA-Ser". Lineage: Eukaryota; Metazoa; Chordata; Lepidosauria; Squamata; Gekkonidae. The record is from RNAcentral.
AACAAGAGAGAGACCUCGCUAGACUGCUAACCUAGCCCACCGAAACUAGCCAUUCGGCUCYU